GGGGAUGUAAUGGUUUCGACGGGGGAUAUGCGGUGGCCUGGGAAGCGAGCCAAGGUCGCGCCAGCUUGUAAAACGGUGCACUUAAAAUUAAACGCUAAAAACAAUAAUUUAGCAGUAGCUGCCUAAGUGCAGUUAACCGCUCUACCUGUUGCGCCUGCGGUGCAGGAUAGAGUGUCACUCUAGCGGGCUACCGAUGUGCCAGUGUUGGGUAACAGAUCGGGAACUUUACCUGACUGGUUUGGGGCAAUCCUGUUUGUGGGAGUGUUUCAGACGAGAUUAAAACAUAAACUACGCUCGUAGAGGCCCGGGGUGUCGGUCUUUCGGACAGGGGUUCGACUCCCCUCAUCUCCAUUU
Molecule: transfer-messenger RNA, 354 nt
Filed under: Peptococcaceae bacterium
Lineage: Bacteria; Bacillati; Bacillota; Clostridia; Eubacteriales; Peptococcaceae
Rfam family: transfer-messenger RNA
About the family: Bacterial tmRNA, also known as 10Sa RNA or SsrA, is named for its dual tRNA and mRNA-like properties. Its role is to liberate the mRNA from a stalled ribosome.
Source: RNAcentral